Molecule: ribosomal RNA, 1347 nt
Filed under: uncultured bacterium
Lineage: Bacteria
Description: partial 16S ribosomal RNA
Rfam family: Bacterial small subunit ribosomal RNA
Source: RNAcentral
GACGAACGCUGUGCGGCGUGCUUAACACAUGCAAGUCGAACGGAAAGGCCCUGCUUUUGUGGGGUGCUCGAGUGGCGAACGGGUGAGUAACACGUGAGUAACCUGCCCUUGACUUUGGGAUAACUUCAGGAAACUGGGGCUAAUACCGGAUAGGAGCUCCUGCUGCAUGGUGGGGGUUGGAAAGUUUCGGCGGUUGGGGAUGGACUCGCGGCUUAUCAGCUUGUUGGUGGGGUAGUGGCUUACCAAGGCUUUGACGGGUAGCCGGCCUGAGAGGGCGACCGGCCACAUUGGGACUGAGAUACGGCCCAGACUCCUACGGGAGGCAGCAGUGGGGAAUAUUGCACAAUGGGCGGAAGCCUGAUGCAGCAACGCCGCGUGCGGGAUGACGGCCUUCGGGUUGUAAACCGCUUUCGCCUGUGACGAAGCGUGAGUGACGGUAAUGGGUAAAGAAGCACCGGCUAACUACGUGCCAGCAGCCGCGGUGAUACGUAGGGUGCGAGCGUUGUCCGGAUUUAUUGGGCGUAAAGGGCUCGUAGGUGGUUGAUCGCGUCGGAAGUGUAAUCUUGGGGCUUAACCCUGAGCGUGCUUUCGAUACGGGUUGACUUGAGGAAGGUAGGGGAGAAUGGAAUUCCUGGUGGAGCGGUGGAAUGCGCAGAUAUCAGGAGGAACACCAGUGGCGAAGGCGGUUCUCUGGGCCUUUCCUGACGCUGAGGAGCGAAGGCGUGGGGAGCGAACAGGCUUAGAUACCCUGGUAGUCCACGCUGUAAACGGUGGGUACUAGGUGUGGGGUCCAUUCCACGGGUUCCGUGCCGUAGCUAACGCUUUAAGUACCCCGCCUGGGGAGUACGGCCGCAAGGCUAAAACUCAAAGGAAUUGACGGGGCCCCGCACAAGCGGCGGAGCAUGCGGAUUAAUUCGAUGCAACGCGUAGAACCUUACCUGGGUUUGACAUGGAUCGGGAGUGCUCAGAGAUGGGUGUGCCUCUUUUGGGGUCGGUUCACAGGUGGUGCAUGGCUGUCGUCAGCUCGUGUCGUGAGAUGUUGGGUUAAGUCCCGCAACGAGCGCAACCCUUGUUCACUGUUGCCAGCACGUUAUGGUGGGGACUCAGUGGAGACCGCCGGGGUCAACUCGGAGGAAGGUGGGGAUGACGUCAAGUCAUCAUGCCCCUUAUGUCCAGGGCUUCACGCAUGCUACAAUGGCUGGUACAGAGAGUGGCGAGCCUGUGAGGGUGAGCGAAUCUCGGAAAGCCGGUCUCAGUUCGGAUUGGGGUCUGCAACUCGACCUCAUGAAGUCGGAGUCGCUAGUAAUCGCAGAUCAGCAACGCUGCGGUGAAUACGUUCCCGGGGCU